AUCUACACAUAUACACAAGAACAAUUAUUGAUAAGAGAUAUUAGUGCCAGCACAGUUUUCAAUCAAGUGCAAUGAAACGACUGAUGGUUUUUACAUGUCAUGUGAUAAAGAAUCGACCUAUACAGUGCCAAACCAUCUCAGCAAUAUCUACAAUUUAGUAUCAUAUCAUUACAGAAAAUUUACCAAUUUAUGCUAACCUCCAACAGUUCAGUUAUAUGAGGAUAAAGACUGGGCAGCCAUAUCAAAAUUUUUUUAGAUCAUCGGAUGAAGCACACCAACAGAAAUUCAAG
This 290-nucleotide unclassified non-coding RNA is filed under the name Hevea brasiliensis (rubber tree). Lineage: Eukaryota; Viridiplantae; Streptophyta; Magnoliopsida; Malpighiales; Euphorbiaceae. The record is from RNAcentral.